RNAcentral lists this ribosomal RNA (253 nucleotides) under uncultured bacterium. RNAcentral's name for it is "partial 16S ribosomal RNA". It matches the Rfam family "Bacterial small subunit ribosomal RNA", at positions 524 to 776 of the family's 1533-position model. The record is from RNAcentral.
UACGUAGGGGGCAAGCGUUGUCCGGAUUUAUUGGGCGUAAAGAGCGUGUAGGCGGUUAGGUAGGUCCGUUGUGAAAACUCGGGGCUCAACCUCGAGACGCCGAUGGAAACCAUCUGACUAGAGUCCGGAAGAGGAGAGUGGAAUUCCUGGUGUAGCGGUGAAAUGCGCAGAUAUCAGGAAGAACACCCGUGGCUAAGGCGGCUCUCUAGUACGUGACUGACGCUGAGACGCGAAAGCGUGGGGAGCGAACAGG